Molecule: ribosomal RNA, 250 nt
Filed under: uncultured Planctomycetia bacterium
Lineage: Bacteria; Pseudomonadati; Planctomycetota; Planctomycetia
Description: partial 16S ribosomal RNA
Rfam family: Bacterial small subunit ribosomal RNA
Source: RNAcentral
GACGAACCGAGCAAACGUUAUUCGGAAUCACUGGGCUUAAAGAGUCCGUAGGCGGCGCGUUAGGUGGGGUGUGAAAUCCCUCGGCUCAACCGAGGAAUUGCGCUCCAAACCGGCGUGCUUGAGGAAGGUAGAGGUGAGCGGAACUGAUGGUGGAGCGGUGAAAUGCGUUGAUAUCAUCAGGAACACCGGAGGCGAAGGCGGCUCACUGGGCCUUUUCUGACGCUGAGGGACGAAAGCCAGGGUAGCGAAC